Molecule: ribosomal RNA, 388 nt
Filed under: uncultured bacterium
Lineage: Bacteria
Description: bacterial SSU rRNA
Rfam family: Bacterial small subunit ribosomal RNA
Source: RNAcentral
GACGAACGCUGGCGGCGUGCUUAACACAUGCAAGUCGAGCGGUAAGGCCCUUUCGGGGGUACGACGAGCGGCGAACGGGUGAGUAACACGUGGGUGACCUGCCCUCAGCUCUGGGAUAAGCCCGGGAAACCGGGUCUAAUACUGGAUAUGACUCCAUGACGCAUGUUGUGGGGUGGAAAGCCUUGUGCGGCUGAGGAUGGGCCCGCGGCCUAUCAGCUUGUUGGUGGGGUGAGGCCUACCAAGGCGACGACGGGUAGCCGGCCUGAGAGGGCGACCGGCCACACUGGGACUGAGACACGGCCCAGACUCCUACGGGAGGCAGCAGUGGGGAAUCUUGCGCAAUGGGCGAAAGCCUGACGCGGCGACGCCGCGUGAGGGAUGACGGCCU